CUGAUGGUGUGUUCAUUCUUUAAUCAGACAGAGCCCAAUCCCGAACAUUCUGAUGUCUUUUUCAAGGCUCUCUUGUGCAUGCGUUAAAAAACUGUCAACCAAUCUCCUGCAUCUGAAACCAUCAAUUUCUGAAGACACACCUCUUCUGUGAGCACUGAAAUAAAGCAUUGCCAUUAGAGCACAGAAAACAUGAAUUGAUCUACAGUGUAGUCAACAUGGAAAAAUAUCUGUUUCUAAUUUUAAUUCUGACUUCAGGUGUGAUGACUGCAGACCAGAUUGGACCAAAUAAAGAAACUGUCAUCAUAAAGAAGGAAGACGAGACUGUGACUCUCAGCUGCUCAUAUGAAACUAGCAGCAAUUAUGUUAGACUUUACUGGUACAGACUGUAUAUUAAUGAAGAACCUCGGUAUUUAAUGUGGAAAGAAGCUCGUUCAUGGACCAGUACUGGGAGCCCCUCUGAUUCUCGCUUUCAGUCGACUACAUCAGAUUCAUCCACUGAACUCAUUAUUAAUGGAGUAACUCUGUCAGAUUCAGCUCUCUAUUACUGUGCUCUAAGAGUUGGAGCCCAGUGAUACAAAGUCUAAGUGAAGCUGUACA
Molecule: non-coding RNA, 597 nt
Organism: Pimephales promelas (fathead minnow)
Lineage: Eukaryota; Metazoa; Chordata; Actinopteri; Cypriniformes; Leuciscidae
Source: the annotation of a RefSeq genome assembly